RNAcentral lists this ribosomal RNA (436 nucleotides) under uncultured Clostridiales Family IV bacterium. Its description in RNAcentral is "bacterial SSU rRNA". It matches the Rfam family "Bacterial small subunit ribosomal RNA", at positions 341 to 792 of the family's 1533-position model. The record is from RNAcentral. Lineage: Bacteria; Bacillati; Bacillota; Clostridia; Eubacteriales; Eubacteriales Family IV. Incertae Sedis.
ACGGGAGGCAGCAGUGGGGGUAUUGCACAAUGGAGGAAACUCUGAUGCAGCAACGCCGCGUGAGGGAAGAAGGUCUUCGGAUUGUAAACCUAAGUUAUCAGGGACGAAUAAAAUGACGGUACCUGAAGAGAAAGCUCCGGCUAACUACGUGCCAGCAGCCGCGGUAAUACGUAGGGAGCGAGCGUUGUCCGGAUUUACUGGGUGUAAAGGGUGCGUAGGCGGGCUUGCAAGUCAGGCGUGAAAUCCCGUGGCUUAACUGCGGGGCUGCGCUUGAAACUGUAGGUCUUGAGUGAAGUAGAGGCAAGCGGAAUUCCCAGUGUAGCGGCGAAAUGCGUAGAUAUUGGGAGGAACACCAGUGGCGAAGGCGGCUUGCUGGGCUUUAACUGACGCUGAGGCACGAAAGCAUGGGGAGCAAACAGGAUUAGAUACCCUGGUA